Molecule: long non-coding RNA, 429 nt
Filed under: Helianthus annuus (common sunflower)
Lineage: Eukaryota; Viridiplantae; Streptophyta; Magnoliopsida; Asterales; Asteraceae
Description: hypothetical non coding rna
Rfam family: Small nucleolar RNA Z103 (bases 1-103)
Source: RNAcentral
AUGGAUGUGAUGAUUAUUUCCCCAGAUGAUCGAAUAUGAAAUAACUGAGCGCAUUAUUUAUGUUUCUCCUUAUGGAGAAACUCAAGCCAGAAAUCUGAUCCAUCGUUUUUUUUUUAAGUUUUAUUUGAUUUAAAAUUUGUAAUUUGAUUUUUUUUAUUGGAGAAUUGAGAUGAAGAUUAUUUCCCCAGAUGAUCGAAGUUGAUUAUACUGAGCGCAUUGUUAUAGUUCCCUUUAAUAGGGAAUUCCAAGCCAGAAAUCUGAUCCUCUUUUUUGUAUAAUUGUUUUAUGAUUUUUUUUAGGAAUCAAGUUACUAUGUUAUUAUUGUUUUUGUGAAUGUGAAUGCCUGCCUCUGAUGAUGAUUCAAAUAAAACUUUCGUUCUUCUGAAUAUCCUUGUGGAAACGAUUAUUGGAGACCUGAACUGAAGAGGC